GUGUCAAAUGAUGGGAUCAUUUUAUCUACUUGGUUGUUGAUGAAAGUGCCUCUUCUAUGGUGGAUGCCCAUACCCUCACCAGAGGGCCAGCCAUUGACCACUGCCCAGGAAUCUCACCUAAGGCCACUUCUACAUAAAACUAUGAGCAGGGCAAGGAUUCAAUGUGGUGUUUACUCCAACUACAUCAUUCCCAUUUAUGCAUUUGGGAACUGAGGAAACGACAACUGGAUGCUUGAAUCAUCACACCUGCAAUGGUAGUUUCCUUCAUCAGGAUAUUUUUCUAGGUCAUCACCACUGAAAUCUUCAG
This is a long non-coding RNA of Lagenorhynchus albirostris (white-beaked dolphin), 307 nucleotides long. RefSeq lists it as uncharacterized. The record is from RefSeq and is a predicted model, not a curated record. Lineage: Eukaryota; Metazoa; Chordata; Mammalia; Artiodactyla; Delphinidae. The transcript has 3 exons.